GACGAACGCUGGCGGCGUGCUUAACACAUGCAAGUCGAACGGAAAGGCCCUGCUUUUGUGGGGUGCUCGAGUGGCGAACGGGUGAGUAACACGUGAGUAACCUGCCCUUGACUUUGGGAUAACUUCAGGAAACUGGGGCUAAUACCGGAUAGGAGCUCCUGCUGCAUGGUGGGGGUUGGAAAGUUUCGGCGGUUGGGGAUGGACUCGCGGCUUAUCAGCUUGUUGCUGGGGUAGUGGCUUACCAAGGCUUUGACGGGUAGCCGGCCUGAGAGGGUGACCGGCAAAAUUGGGGGAGAGAUACGGCCCGGACACAAACGGGAGGCAGCAGUGGGGAAGAUGGAACAAUGGGCGGAAGCCUGAUGCAGCAACUCCGAGUGGGAGAUGACGGACUAAGGGUAGUAAACAGCGAUCGCCUGUGACGAAGCGUGAGAGACGGUAAAGGGUAAAGAAGAACCGGAUAACUACGUG
Molecule: ribosomal RNA, 468 nt
Filed under: uncultured bacterium
Lineage: Bacteria
Description: partial 16S ribosomal RNA
Rfam family: Bacterial small subunit ribosomal RNA
Source: RNAcentral